This is a non-coding RNA of Caenorhabditis elegans, 225 nucleotides long. The record is from Ensembl. NCBI's taxonomy places the organism in Eukaryota, Metazoa, Nematoda, Chromadorea, Rhabditida, Rhabditidae.
GGGGUGAAUAGAAAAGGCAAGAAAAGUCCGGAUUGAGAUAAGGAUAAGUUGACAGGCUAAGGGCGGGGCUUUUCGUGUCUUUUUGUCUGCGCAAGAAGCGCCCUGGCGACUUUUGGCUGGUCUUCCAAAACGUCUCUCUCUCUUGCCUCCGCUUCUCUUCCACUUCGCUCCAAUCCCCUCCCUCCUCUUACUUCUGGUCGACCUGCCUGUUCUUGUCCCCGAUUC